RNAcentral lists this non-coding RNA (24 nucleotides) under Mus musculus (house mouse). Lineage: Eukaryota; Metazoa; Chordata; Mammalia; Rodentia; Muridae. The record is from RNAcentral.
UACCACACAUGCAGGAGGCCCUCA